CUGGUUGAUCCUGCCAGUAGUCAUAUGCUUGUCUCAAAGAUUAAGCCAUGCAUGUCUAAGUACAUACUUUUGCACGGUGAAACCGCGAAUGGCUCAUUAAAUCAGUUAUGGUUCCUUAGAUCGUUCAUAUUACAUGGAUAACUGUGGUAAUUCUAGAGCUAAUACAUGCAAAAAGCUCCGACCGUAUGGGAAGAGCGCUUUUAUUAGACCAAAACCAAUGGGAUCGCAAGAUCCCUUUGUAUGGUGACUCUGGAUAACUUUGUGCUGAUCGCAUGGCCUAGAGCCGGCGACGUAUCUUUCAAGUGUCUGCCCUAUCAACUUUCGAUGGUAAGCGAUUUGCCUACCAUGGUUGUAACGGGUAACGGGGAAUCAGGGUUCGAUUCCGGAGAGGGAGCAUGAGAAAUGGCUACCACAUCUACGGAAGGCAGCAGGCGCGCAAAUUACCCACUCCUAGAACGGGGAGGUAAUGACGAAAAAUAACAAUACCGGGCUUCACAGUCUUGCAAUUGGAAUGAGUAGAUUUUAAAUCUCUCUACGAGUAACAAUUGGAGGGCAAGUCUGGU
RNAcentral lists this ribosomal RNA (563 nucleotides) under uncultured eukaryote. Its description in RNAcentral is "SSU rRNA". It matches the Rfam family "Eukaryotic small subunit ribosomal RNA", at positions 4 to 565 of the family's 1831-position model. The record is from RNAcentral.